RNAcentral lists this ribosomal RNA (440 nucleotides) under uncultured bacterium. Its description in RNAcentral is "partial 16S ribosomal RNA". It matches the Rfam family "Bacterial small subunit ribosomal RNA", at positions 338 to 795 of the family's 1533-position model. The record is from RNAcentral.
CCUACGGGAGGCAGCAGUGGGGGAUAUUGCACAAUGGGGGGAACCCCGAUGCAGCGACGCCGCGUGGGUGAAGAAGCGCCUCGGCGCGUAAAGCCCUGUCAGCAGGGAAGAAAAUGACGGUACCUGAAGAAGAAGCCCCGGCUAACUACGUUCCAGCAGCCGCGGUAAUACGUAGGGGGCCAGCGUUAUCCGGAUUUACUGGGUGGAAAGGGGGCGCAGACGGCGAUGCAAGCCAGGAGUGAAAGCCCGGGGCCCAACCCCGGGACUGCCCUUGGAACGGCGUGGCGGGAGUGCCGGAGGGGCAGGCGGAAUUCCUGGUGUAGCGGUGAAAUGCGUAGAUAUCAGGAGGAACACCGGUGGCGAAGGCGGCCUGCUGGACUGCAACUGACGUUGAGGCCCGAAAGCGUGGGGAGCAAACAGGAUUAGAUACCCGGGUAGUC